UUUGAAAGAUUUUCGUCUACUUCUACUGGACAGUCGCGUUGCGUUCAAUGGAUUAAUUUGCAUAAAGCUGGGCAUCAGCCAGCUUCUUUGACAUGCAGCAUUUUUUCAAAUGCAGCGCUGCCUUCCCGGGAUGCUUUGCGGGCGCGUAAGUCGCUUGACGUCACCCAUAGGAAUAAAGUGGAGCGCGACGCGACAGAAGCGUUGCAGGGCAAGGUGGAUCUGCACGGCUAGUCAGCCGAAGCGCUGC
Sander lucioperca (pikeperch) is the source of this 247-nucleotide long non-coding RNA. RefSeq lists it as uncharacterized. Lineage: Eukaryota; Metazoa; Chordata; Actinopteri; Perciformes; Percidae. The transcript has 4 exons. The record is from RefSeq and is a predicted model, not a curated record.